This is a non-coding RNA of Caenorhabditis remanei, 46 nucleotides long. The record is from Rfam. Lineage: Eukaryota; Metazoa; Nematoda; Chromadorea; Rhabditida; Rhabditidae.
CCAACGGCCCUCUUUAGGGCCACAAAUACAAAAAUCCGAAAAUGUU